This 313-nucleotide ribosomal RNA is filed under the name uncultured bacterium. RNAcentral describes it as "bacterial SSU rRNA". It matches the Rfam family "Bacterial small subunit ribosomal RNA", at positions 29 to 341 of the family's 1533-position model. The record is from RNAcentral.
AUUGAACGCUGGCGGAAUGCUUUACACAUGCAAGUCGAGCGGCAGCGCGGGGGCAACCCUGGCGGCGAGCGGCGAACGGGUGAGUAACAUAUCGGAACGUACCCCGUCGUGGGGGAGUAACACAGCGAAAGCUGUGCUAAUACCGCAUACGACCUGAGGGUGAAAGCGGGGGGAGUCGCAAGACCUCGCGCGAUGGGAGCGGCCGAUAUCGGAUUAGCUUGUUGGUGAGGUAAAGGCUCACCAAGGCGACGAUCCGUAGCUGGUCUGAGAGGACGACCAGCACACUGGAACUGAGACACGGUCCAGACUCCUA